GUGCUCGCUUCAGCAAUACAUAUACUUUACAAUUGGAACGAUACAAAGAAGAUUAGCAUGGCCCCUGUGCAAGGAUAACAGGCAAAUUCGUAAAGCGUUCCAUAUGUUU
Molecule: small nuclear RNA, 109 nt
Organism: Suncus etruscus (white-toothed pygmy shrew)
Lineage: Eukaryota; Metazoa; Chordata; Mammalia; Eulipotyphla; Soricidae
Source: RefSeq, a predicted model, not a curated record